Molecule: ribosomal RNA, 243 nt
Filed under: uncultured bacterium
Lineage: Bacteria
Description: partial small subunit ribosomal RNA
Rfam family: Bacterial small subunit ribosomal RNA
Source: RNAcentral
AGAAUCAACGCUGGCGGCGUGCCUAACACAUGCAAGUCGAACGAGAAAGUGGAGCAAUCCAUGAGUAAAGUGGCGACCGGGUGAGUAACACGUGACUAACCUACCUUCGAGUGGGGAUAACCUCGGGAAACCGAGGCUAAUACCGCAUAACAUCGCAAGAUCAAAGCAGCAAUGCGCUGGAAGAGGGGUCGCGGCUGAUUAGCUAGUUGGCGGGAUAAUGGCCCACCAAGGCGAAGAUCGGUA